GGAUUAUAGUUUAAACUUAAAAUAUUUAAAUUGCACUUAAAUGAUAUUAUUAAUUAAUCUGA
RNAcentral lists this transfer RNA (62 nucleotides) under Trioza frangulae. RNAcentral's name for it is "tRNA-Ala". Lineage: Eukaryota; Metazoa; Arthropoda; Insecta; Hemiptera; Triozidae. The record is from RNAcentral.